AUUACAAAUUACAAAUGCAAACUAAAGUGAAUUUAGGCAGAUUAAUCAGAUUGAUUUAGGCAGAUUAAUCAGUUUGUUUUUCUGCUCCAGUUUUCAAACUGCCUCAUCUUUGUUCUGUGACGAAAAAAAAAACCUGUUAUAUUUGCUCUGUCACAACUACAUGUGGAGUAGAGAGUCUUGUCAACGUUUUCCAAAAUCAAGUGAGUAGAAAUGCUUGGAGAAAUAUUUUCAGGUCUCAAGGGGUGUGCUGAGAGACGCAGGGGAUUCCAUCCAACUUGGUGACAGUACCCUGAUCCAAUGGCCUAAUUACGAGCGUUAAUCAUCAGGCUAAGUUUGAGGCACCUUUCACAAAGACUGUAGCGCCUCCUCAGUCUUCCAAGUCAAGAUAACAGAGUCCAAACUUUGAAAACCAUCCAGUUACCAUGGAGACGGUCCUGCUCCCGGACCAGUGGAGUAUGCCCAUCCUCAAGCCUCCAGACACCGCCGCGGGCCGCUGCCCUCAAAGAACCCACCACAGGCUGACAGGAAAUACUGUGCCAUGCACUUUCUUCCUCAUACUGUUUCAUCACCCUCCUAAAACUCGGAGGUUGGUAUGAUUAUUUUCCACAUCCUACAAGGGAAGACACUAAGACUAACUAGUUAAAUAUUCUGUCCCAAAUCAGUCAGUACGAGACAGGGCGGGGCUCGAGCCCUGGAAUCUCGAACCCCUGGUUCCUGGGGCGCCCCUCGGACGCGGGGUCCCAGGCGUGGGCUCUGCUCCGCUUGCCUCGCCACACGAAGGCCCUUCCACCCCGUCACGGACUCCAGGCUUCUUUGCGGGCCGGGACCGAGGGCCCGCGCCUGUGGUCGGGUCGCAAGACCCCGGCCGCCGCCAUCCCCGGCCGAGGCCGCCGCCCCGCCCCCGCUGGCUGCAGGCCCGGCGCCCGCCCCCCCGGGGUUUUCGCUUUCGCUUUCCCGCCGAUGUCGUUGAGGGAAACAGCGCAGCGGGGCCAGCUCAGGCGCAGCUGCCGUUCCCGGCGGGCGAGGGGCGCAGAGGGCGGCGGCGGCGGCGGCGGCGGCGGCGGCCGAGGAGACCGGGCCGGGCCCGGCGCGCGGCGAGGUGCCAGAGUUUGCAGCCUGUUGGGGAAAACCAACAUCAAGGACCAGUGCUUUGAAUGGACUACAGCCCAAUGGGUCUGUCCCAGUGCUGCUCCUUUACUGAGACAGCACUGCGGAGUGCCACCCUGCUUGCUAUGCACAGCUGCUCUGUGGAUUGAAGAUGAAGAUUCGGUGGAGUGAAGGACUGGAGGACUCCUGUGACAUUUUACUGCAGGCAGGGAAGCCCUACCUGCGGAGCUCCCAGGCACUUGGGAAGACUGGUUGAUUGGAUGAUGAAUCCUGGUUGUAGUCCCUGUGAUGAACACCUCUGCUGUCAGACAUCACUGGCUGCCUUCUGUGUGCUCAACUUAGAACCGAGCCCAUUCUUCAGCGGCCGGAGGAUAUCCUGUGGAGCAGUGCAGCGCCCGGCCUCCCAUCCUGUGUGAACUGCAAGGCAGCGGCUGUGGCCCUGAGGCCCUCUUCUCUCCCAGGCCAGGCUGCGCCUCCUGCUCACAGUUCUACUUUUCCUAAGCCAAACUGGAGGCCAGGGCACCGAGAACGUCGAGAUGGCAUAUUUCCAGAGUGUGGAGGAGACAGACUGUACCGCAGGAGCCUGGAGCCAGGCCCCAAAGGUUCUGCUGGCUGUCCCAGGGGCCUGCCCUUACGACAGCCCACCCGGGACAUCUCGGAGCUUGUAUCUCUGCUCAUCAGAAGUUGGAGGAGUGGGUUCGAGGGGGCAGCUGUUUCCUAUAAAAAUGUCCAGUAGAGGUAAUGUCCUUGGGACAAACUCUUUUUUUUUCUAUACUGGGGAUGGAACAUACAGCCUUCACUCUGAACUGUAUCCUCAGCUCCCUUUAAAAAAAAAAAUUAUUUUGAGAAAGGGUUUUGAUAAGUGCUAAAUUGCCCAGGGUGGGCUCCAACUUGCAGUGCUGGCCUCCCAAAGUACAGGGAUUACUGCUGGACACGAUGCCCGGUUGGUCAUCCUUUUUUUUGGGGGGGAGGGUACCGGGGAUUGUACUCCAGACCUUGUGCUUUCGAGGCAGGCGCCGGAACCACUGAGCUAAAUCCCCGGCCCUGGUUGGUCAUCCUUUUUGACACCCAAGCUAAGGAGGCUCAUUCUGUGCCUGAGGCUCCAGUGUCUCGCAUUCUGCCCGCUGGAAUACGGUCUCUCAGAGGGGCUGUGGAGCCUCGUGUGGUCGACUCCAACCAAGGUGCAGGCAUUUGGGGAGCGUCGUCCCCAGGUAAUUCCUGUGUGUCCAUUUCCUGUUACUGAGACAAAUUACUAUAAACUUGGUGUCUUAGAAAAACACACAUCUAUUUUCUUAAAGUUCUGAGGGCCAGAAAUCCAAAAUAAGUCUCAGUGGGCUAAACUCAAGGUGUCAGCGGGAAUGUGUUAAUCUCCACCGAGGCUCUGUGCCUGUCCCAGGGUCAAGAGGCUCCACGCGUUCUGCCCUGUGGCUCCUUCCUCUGACUUCAAGUCCAGCAGUGGCUGGUCAGGACUUCCACAUAAUGCCAUCUCUCAGAUUCUACCUCUCCUGCCUCCCUCUUCCCUGUUUAAGGAGCCCAGUGAUUACAUUGGGCCCCCCAGACAAUUUCUCUGUUUCCCACUUCCAGCAACCUUAAUUCUCCAUUGCCACGUAUCAUGGCGCAUCCACAGGUCCCACCCACUUGGACGUGGACAUCUUUAUUCCACCAUGGACCGUUAUUUUGCACACCCAGCCAACCUCUCCUGUGGCUUUUCCAAGGGUCUCAUCCUCAGGCAUAGACAGUGGGCUGGGCCAGACCAGUCGGGAUGUGCCCACCACUGGCAGAGAGGUCCUUUCUGCCCAGACACCCUCCCUGCUUUAGCUCACCUCCUCUUCUCUCAUCCUCUGCUCCCCCUCUGGCGUAGAGGGAAGCUGGUGAGGCUAGAUGCGCCGCGGGAGCCCAGGGAGCUGAGCCCUCCCCGGCCAGACAGCCUGUCUUCCAGGGGCUGGAGCCAGAGCCCAGCCUUUGCGGUCGCGGACUCACAGUCUGAGGGCAGUUGCAGGGUCGGAGGGGCAGGCAGGCACAUAUCGGAGACACACGUAUCCCCUGUGCCUCUCGGCCUCCCUUCCUCAGGUGACAACAGCCUGUCUACCCUCCGGCACUCGGUGGUCCUUUUUGGGGCUGGGACCUUGAGAGGCUCCCAAGGAGGGGAGGCCCCCAUCAAAUCUGUCCCUGGGUACUGGUGAGGACCUGGGGGAUCCAGGACCCCAGCAAGAGGUCUCAUCAGCACAGCAGAGCAAAGCAGGAGGAGCUGGACAGGGCCUUCGGUCUUCAAGUAUGGUGACCAGUUGGGCUUGGUUUGCCUAAGACUUUCCCACUUUGAGCAGUGGGGGUCCAAGCCCUGGAACUCGGUCAGAGCAAACCGAGACAGCUGGUCACCCUGUCUCCAGGGCCUUUAUCACAUUCUCUUCCGCUCUGGGUCAUCUCCGCUGCUACACAGCCAGCUCUUUGGACUCCUGGAUACUAGAAAGACCUGGGGGCUGAGGAAGGACCCCAGGCCCACGCCAGAAAGGAGCAGGCUCUUGCCCCAGCAAGCCCGGCAGAGGAGCCAUCAACAGUGAAGACCAAGCUGGUGUCUGCGGGGCACAGAGCUCCCAGGAGCAGUGUGCGUAAGACGGUGAAAAGGAAACCUCUAAACACUUAGCAGCCUGGUCACUUCUGAGUGGUGGAUUGCAGGUGGCUUUCAUAAAUACUUUGAGUUCCCCCUCUGUAUUUCUUCCUCUCUGUACAAGUAAGCCAUGUUCUUUCUGUAUGUUUUUAAUAAAAGAAAGCCAGUGGUGACUCAGCCAUCCAUCUCCAGUCCUGCUGAGGGACACGAGCAGUUGUGCUGGCACCUGUGACCUUGGCUGUGGGCUGGUCAUGGCCCCAUUCUGCCCGAAGCUCUACUGCAAGGGCAGGGAAGCUACUCCUCCGUGUCCUUCGGCCCCACAGUGCACCCAGGGUCCAGCCUGGCUUGUUCCCUGAGUGAAGACUCAAAAGCCUGAUGUGCUCUCUCUUGGCAGAGCAGGGGUGCAGGUGCUGAGGACACACAGGAUGUGGCUGGCCAUUGGGAGAUGCUCUUGAGCACCACUCUGGACUGAGAAUGAUGGGGAGAGGAGCUCUUGCCUCCAGGCAGCUGGCACCUGGUUGGAGAGCUCGGGUUACCCCACAGACCAUGUGGCGCAUGGUGGACUGGAUGAGGCCUUGCCUGUGAGGAUUGUCCGAGGUCGCAUAGGGGAGACCCAGGAGCCUCACUGCACUUGUCUUAGAAUGGCCAGAGGCCAAAACAGGUUUUCUUGAGUGACCUGAGGCAGCCCCCCAAGCUCGGGGUAAAUGGUCUCCCCCUCCCAGAACUCGCUGCUGGACACUUUGUGACAGAAGAGUGGCAAGAACAGUCAGCAAGAUGUUCCACUCUUAGACAGCUGGGCACCCUUGGGCCCUCCUCCUUGCCCUCUCCCCUCGUAUUCUUUGGGAGUGCCAGGCUCUAGACUUCCUCUGGCUGCCUCCGUCUGGUCUCCUGAUACCAAGCAGUUCUCUCCACCCCAAGCCCAGCAAGAGCACUUGGAAGGGAGCCCUGGGUCUCCAGUAGAGGCAGCCACCCCUCCACCUCCUACAUACAGGGCCAGCAUUCCCCACCCUAGUCCACCCUAGUCCACCAUUGUCCUGGUGAGGCCAACAUGUGACCUUGUUCAUUGUUUUGGAAAAGUAGUAAGUGUUCUGGCCUAAUGAUCCCUCCCUAUUGAACCCAGAACCCAAGCACAACUCCAUGUUCACACAACUCCCUUGACCCAGGAAGUCAGCUUUCUCAGAGAAGCCUGGCAUGUGCUUCCCCCUCCUUGCCACACCCUCGCCCCUAAGCCAAGAUCCUGCUCUAUCCCUUCUCCCUAAGCAAAGCUGCAGCUGAGUGUUUUUACUACUUUCUUUUUUUUUUUUGGUGCUGGGGAUCGAACUUGGGUCCUUGCGCUUGCACAGCAAGUGGCAAAACCACUGAGUUAAAUCCCCAGCCCCUAAACUGAGUGUUUUUAAGUGCUAGGGAAGACCUUGCUAGUCCUGCCUCAAUUCUGGGCAGAUUUGGGAAUCUGAACGUGUGAGGGAAAAGUGAUAGCAGAAUUGGACACUCCCCACAUCCAUGUGGUUUUUAAGGGAAAGAGGACAGUAGGAACGGAGACAGGGAUUCAGGCCAGUUCAGGAUUCGGCCACACAAAGUAGUGAGGGCCCCAACCUGGCGACCUCUUGGCUGGCUAUGGAGGCUGGGCAGGCCUCCCCUGAAGGGAAGGUAGUAGUGAGCUCUGGUGUCUACCUGGUGUGGCAACUAGCAUCUGCCUUGGGUGCUGCAGUUUCUCAGGAAUUAGACCCACUAGAGGCACAGGGCCUGAGCCCGGCCCAAGGCUAGGAGUUAGGAUGCACCUCUGAGUGGUCCAGACCUCUGAGGGACCCCAGAGGCCAAAACCGUCUGGCCUAGGGCAGAAGAGCUGGCUUCGCAGACAGAAUUGUGUCUAAAAAGUCCCCUUUGACCCCUAGAGCUGAGACCUACCAGGCCAGAGUCCCCUAGAGAAAACGGACUGUGUAGCUAAGCUGCUCCCUGCUCUGAGGCCAAGUAUCAAGCCUGUCAGGUCACAGCCCUGGCCUUGGCCUUCAGAACUGCAUGCAGGUGGCCUCCCGGGUAGAGGUGGGGAAUCACUUCUCUUGGGGCCCAAGCCAAACUCCACCACACUGGGGCCCUGGGGCCUGUGGCGGCAGAGCCAUAUUGUCUGAAGUACCAGGAGGGGCCAGGGGCGCUGAUGCCAAGGCGACACAGCAGCUGAACCUUUGCUGUCUUCCGUCAAGGUCUCCAGAUGCCUUCUUGUCAUAGGUUCCUAGUGCCCUGUCCCUUGCCGGCACUCCCCAAAUUCCCCCCCCAGGCUUCAGUUUCUUCCUUUGUAGGCAGCCUGAUCUUGUAGAACCCACCUGUGUUCUGGGCAUGGACAGGUGUGGGUUGGAAUCCAGCUGAGUCACCCGUCGUGGGCAAGCCCCUUGUGCGUGCUGAGCAUGGUUUCCUGGUCUGUGAAUGAGGCUGGGGGUGGGGAGCUGUGCCUGAGUGACAGUGCAAAGGGGAGCUUGGCACAGUCCCUGGUCCCAAGGGAACACUCGGGUCUGUUUCAGUAUCCAAGCAGAUCUGAGGUCUGCUCUAGUUCUGCUCCUUUCCAAGCUGCAGACUGCACUGAGCCCGCAGAAGUGGGGGCUUCUUCUGCAACUGCCCCCCCACCACCAGAAAAGCAGCAGAAAUGGACCUUUGGGAGCCGCCUGGAGCCAGGAAAACCACAGCCAACCAGCUAGGUCUUCCUCAGACUCGACCCCACAAGGGAGCUCUGGCCGGCGAAGCCGCCUUCCACCCUGCCACGUACCUUCACCUCUGGAAAAGGAGCACACCAGCGCCCCAGGCUCUGGUUUCUGUAAGAGCUGGUGAAAGUGGGGAGAGACCAGUGCUGAGUUCAGAUGGAUUUUACACAUCUUCCGUGUGGAGAGUGAGUGGUUGCCUCAGUUAAGACACAGCAUCACGUAGGUCAGACGAAAGUUCCUUGUUGGAUGCUUCAGCAGGGCUGUGUGGAGGAAACUCCGACCCCAUGCAAGAGUGGAGUUUUGGGUCUGGGCCAACAGUGAGAAAGACGGCCCACUGGUCGCAGAGAAUGACAACUUGGGCAUGACCCAGCUCCAUGGACUAGGUGGCAUCACUCCCAGAGAAAAGGGCUCCACCUGCAACCAAGCUCAAGGCUUUUCCCAGGAUUUCAGCUGGGCCCUGGGCAUACCCCACUGGAGGCUUCCAGAGACCGGGAGCAAGCUCUUAUGUGUGGAGGCAGGGUGACCACAACACCCUAUACACGUGCAUGGAGAGAUGCUGAAAGCUGAUACUCUAAGAAGGGAUGAUUUUCACAUUAGCCUUCAGCUUUCAUCCUACUGCAAGUAGCUGAAUAAAUAAACCAACCCGAUUAAAGUAACACCUUUGGAAUAAAACAAGGAAACUCCUCUGGCUGAUGAGAAAUGCCCUCCAGUGUCUGUAAACUUGGUUCAUCAUGGGUGUGCCUGAGACUAGCUGGUGUACCUGAAAUCCCCCUUUGAUACUUUACCCCAUUGCAAAGUGGCCCUCAAUGACCAUAAUGUCACAGUAAUCCCAACAAAGCUCAUCUUUCAAUGACCUCCUAGCUCCUUCAACCAAGAACUUCCAUUCUGAGUGCUUAGAUUGAAAAUCUUGGGAAUUACCUACCCUUAGGAAGCACUGACAAGUCCUGAAUGAUCUUAAACUUUUAGGCCCAAAUUUGGUUCAGAUUAUACUGAGGCUGAUCCUUUCCAGACUCUGUUUGCUAAUGAGAUAGUCCCAGCUGCCAUCACCUUUAGGUCUGACUUCUAGGCCUGGGCCGAGGUUCACAGUGAGAUGUGAUGCGACAGCUCCCUAUCCUGUUAGGUCGGUCCCUAUCACACAUGCUCUUCCCUGGAGCCCAGCUGCCUUGCAAUUUUGGGUGCAGAGUUUUAGGUUCCUUCUCUGGACAUUCCAAU
This 7614-nucleotide long non-coding RNA is filed under the name Heterocephalus glaber (naked mole-rat). RNAcentral's name for it is "lncRNA (ENSHGLG00100037999.1)". The record is from RNAcentral. Lineage: Eukaryota; Metazoa; Chordata; Mammalia; Rodentia; Bathyergidae.